Molecule: ribosomal RNA, 559 nt
Filed under: uncultured Lactococcus sp.
Lineage: Bacteria; Bacillati; Bacillota; Bacilli; Lactobacillales; Streptococcaceae
Description: bacterial SSU rRNA
Rfam family: Bacterial small subunit ribosomal RNA
Source: RNAcentral
UGACGGGGGCCCGCACAAGCGGUGGAGCAUGUGGUUUAAUGCGAAGAACCUUACCAGGUCUUGACCGUGCUAUCCUUAGAGAUAAGGAGCUCCUUCGGGACCGGGAUACAGGUGGUGCAUGGUUGUCGUCACUCGUGUCGUGAGAUGUUGGGAGCGCAACCCUUAUUACUAGUUGCCAUCAUUAAGUUGGGCACUCUAGUGAGACUGCCGGUGAUAAACCGGAGGAAGGUGGGGAUGACGUCAAAUCAUCAUGCCCCUUAUGACCUGGGCUACACACGUGCUACAAUGGAUGGUACAACGAGUCGCCAACCCGCGAGGGUGCGCUAAUCUCUUAAAACCAUUCUCAGUUCGGAUUGCAGGCUGCAACUCGCCUGCAUGAAGUCGGAAUCGCUAGUAAUCGCGGAUCAGCACGCCGCGGUGAAUACGUUCCCGGGCCUUGUACACACCGCCCGUCACACCACGGAAGUUGGGAGUACCCAAAGUAGGUUGCCUAACCGCAAGGAGGGCGCUUCCUAAGGUAAGACCGAUGACUGGGGGAAGUCGUAACAAGGUAGCCGUA